RNAcentral lists this ribosomal RNA (450 nucleotides) under uncultured Glomeromycotina. RNAcentral's name for it is "SSU rRNA". It matches the Rfam family "Eukaryotic small subunit ribosomal RNA", at positions 569 to 1023 of the family's 1831-position model. Lineage: Eukaryota; Fungi; Glomeromycota. The record is from RNAcentral.
AGCAGCCGCGGUAAUUCCAGCUCCAAUAGCGUAUAUUAAAGUUGUCGCAGUUAAAAAGCUCGUAGUUGAAUUUCGGGGUCAGCAGGUUGGUCGUGCCACUGGUAUGCACUGGCCUUGCUGAUUCCUCCCUCUUGAUGAGCCGUAAUGCCAUUAAUUUGGUGUUGCGGGGAAUCAGGACUGUUACUUUGAAAAAAUUAGAGUGUUUAAAGCAGGCAAGCGCUUGAAUACAUUAGCAUGGAAUAAUGAAAUAGGACGUUCGAUCCUAUUUUGUUGGUUUCUAGGAUUGACGUAAUGAUUAAUAGGGAUAGUUGGGGGCAUUAGUAUUCAAUUGUCAGAGGUGAAAUUCUUGGAUUUAUUGAAGACUAACUACUGCGAAAGCAUUUGCCAAGGAUGUUUUCAUUAAUCAAGAACGAAAGUUAGGGGAUCGAAGACGAUCAGGUACCGUCGUAG